GCCACUUUGGCAGCCACAUGUUGACACUACUAAACCACAGUCUCACUGUAAGUCAUAUGAGACAUGGAGAAAAUUGUGUGUGUGUGUUUGUGUUUCUGAAUGGCCAGUGGUUACAGUGAGGUUGGGCUGUGUUGCAGGUAGAGUUAAGCCUCUGGACAGUAGAGAAUCAACAUCAAUGUGGCUUUCACCUGAAUUCAAAUGGAUGAACCUGUUUGACUUUGGGGUUUUAGGUGUCAAGGUUAUGCCAGACAGAAGUGGGUGGGUCAAGCAUAUAAAUAGAAUGACUUUACAUGGGGUCAAAUAGGAUUAAGGAGAAUUUCACCGUGUCUCCUGCUGUGAGAAGAAAAACGAGCAAACAAAUAGAGGAAUGUCUUCGUCUGUGUGUCACAUUAUCCUCUCAAUGUGAAAAGAUGUUACUUGCAUACAGUGCAUUAUCCUGAUGAUCGACAUAACCAUUUAUUGAGGUUGUUAGCGGUCACCUUUUGAAUUUUAGUCAUACAGGGUCAUUACUUUAAUAUCCUGCAUUCACAGCUCCCUGACCACUCAUCUGCAAAGGAACACUGCAGAAUUCACCAUUUUAAUUGGAUAUCUUCUACAUUUUCCAUUUAGUUGUUAUUCACAACUACCUGACUGACAUGAAUUCCAGAGGGAGUUGAUGGAGUCGUUUGUUAUGCAGGCAAAUAUCUGUCCCAUGGAACUACAACGAAGAGAAGGUCAGAGGCUUGGAACUACAACGAAGAGAAGGUCAGAGGUUAGGAACUGCAAUGUAGAGAAGGUCAGAGGCUAGGAACUACAACGAAUAGAAGGUCAGAGGUUAGUAACUACAACAAAGAGAAGGUCAGGAACUACAAUGGUCAGAGGUCAGGACUAUGAGAGGAUUGCAUGGCCCUAACCCUCUGCAGAGAUACAAUCCUACCUGUUUUUUUUAUUUGACGUUAUUUAACUAGGCAAGUCAGUUAAGAACAAAUUCUUAUUUACAAUGACGGCCUACUGGGUAACAGUGGGUUAACUGUCUUGUUCAGGGGCAGAACGACAGAUUUUUUACCUUGUCAGCUCGGGGAUUCGAUCCAGCAACCUUUCGGUUACUGGCCCAACGAUCUAACCACUAGGGUACCUGCAGACCCAUUUUGUUAGACUUCAUUGUGGCUUUUGACAUUAUCGAUCAUAGCCUACUGCUGGAAAACCUUGCUAUAUUUUGAAUAAAGAGUUACCUGUCUAACAGAACACAGAGGGUGUUCUUUAAUAG
This 1246-nucleotide long non-coding RNA is filed under the name Salmo salar (Atlantic salmon). RNAcentral describes it as "lncRNA (ENSSSAG00000107220.1)". Lineage: Eukaryota; Metazoa; Chordata; Actinopteri; Salmoniformes; Salmonidae. The record is from RNAcentral.